GACAGCUGUGUCAGUUGGUAGAGCACAUGCUUAACAUCUCUUGAUCGGUGUUCGCAUGUUGUCGUCGGUUCGAGCCCGGCCAGAGUCA
This 88-nucleotide transfer RNA is filed under the name Puccinia graminis f. sp. tritici. Its description in RNAcentral is "tRNA-Val". Lineage: Eukaryota; Fungi; Basidiomycota; Pucciniomycetes; Pucciniales; Pucciniaceae. The record is from RNAcentral.